AAUACAUAAGGCAGAGUGUAGCCACCUUCCCACCCUACUAGGGUGCUGCAGCAUGAGAGGUCAUAUACACUCCUGGCGGGGUCAUGAAGAGACCUGCCCGCUUGCCCCUCGUCAUUGGUGCAACAAUACUGGUGGGUAGAGAGAGGGAGGGAGCACUCAGCCUCACACUGGCGAGACAUGUUAUUGUAGAGGGGGUGACGGCAUCACACACCCUAUAACCUGCCAACUAUGUUGCCUCAACACCCGUGUUGGGAAGGAACAACAUACUGACGCAAGUAAGCCUGAUCCCUGCUAGCCCACGAAGCCUUCAAGCAAGAGCAGACUUUGUACUUACUUCUGAGAGGAAGGUCUGUGCGGCUUUCUGGGCACCAACAUGGAGCAAGUAUUCGUACACAUACAACGCCAAUCUAGAAGAUAUGAGAAAAGUUAUAAACAACAGUGGAAACCGUGGGAGAUCUUCAGCAGUUUUAGAAAAUACAGAACACUGAACUUAGAGGAGUUACAUGGCGACCAUGUGUAGUGCCCCCCCACCUCCUCCAUAUUUACCUACGAGCGCCCCCACACAAAUAAAUCUACAAGGGAGUCUGAGGAGCAUCAAGUUGUGUGUUGUGAGUGGGAGCAGCAGUAGCUGCUUGACACACCAAGUGGGACCUAACAAUGUUCCCUACACUUGUCUGAGGAUACCAGCGUCGCUACCGAACAUCCAACAUCUACCAAACAUCCUUCACCUUAACAUAGGUGGGCUGUUUACCAGAAUAACCCACUGGAAAUAUGUAACAUUAUUUGAUAUUACUGGUGCAUGAUUAUGUAACAUCUGUGUACCAUUAAAAACCAUUGUGAAAACAGUUAACUUGCUUAUAAAUCAAUUUGUAGAUUGUCCUAAAGAAAAACUUAGUA
Molecule: long non-coding RNA, 897 nt
Organism: Cherax quadricarinatus
Lineage: Eukaryota; Metazoa; Arthropoda; Malacostraca; Decapoda; Parastacidae
Source: RefSeq, a predicted model, not a curated record